GUCCCUUCGCGUCGAAGCAUGAACACAAUGGUCCAGAGGCGGAGAAAGCUCAUGAUUUAUCUCCGGCGCACCGACUGGCCGAUGUACUGCUACGUGAUCAGCCGAUUGUUACUCAAAGAUAGGAUCCAAGUCUCCAACCGAGCGAUGCAAGCGGGCACCAAGAAGAAAACCAUGAAGGACAAGCGGCGAAGGAAGAAGAGGAAGGUGAAGAAAAGCGAGAAAUACAGGAAGAAAGCUAACGACGUUUGAUUGAGGCUUGAAGCGACUUGGAAAGGAAAUUCCCUGUACAAUCUGUGGCAGACUAGCGCUCCCAGCUUUCACUGAUUUCCUUGAGCUCAUCCCAGAAAGGUACCUACAAAGUUCGAGUUUUGUGGGAUAACUUUGAAGUCUCUGUUUUGAUUGAGCUGAAGGACUAGAACUCGAACUUUAUAGGUGUUUUCAUUCUCGUCAUGAUCCCUGGCGAUAUCUCUCCAGCUCGAGCAGUGGUUUGGCAACCAAAACCUCGCUCUCAUUGAUCGAGCUCGAGUCUGGAGCAAAGCUCGGGAGCACGAUAAACUUUCCCCGUGAAUUCUUCACUUGAUAUCACCGCAUUCCACAUCUUGGCAUCGUUGAGUCUCGUCUAAAUCCUCCCUGUCAAAGCUCGGGUCCGGAAGAGCAUGCCUAGUCGGAAAUCGGAAUAAUAAAGCUUUACAAAGCUUGAUUUUUUGUU
Selaginella moellendorffii is the source of this 709-nucleotide long non-coding RNA. RefSeq lists it as uncharacterized. NCBI's taxonomy places the organism in Eukaryota, Viridiplantae, Streptophyta, Lycopodiopsida, Selaginellales, Selaginellaceae. The transcript has 2 exons. The record is from RefSeq and is a predicted model, not a curated record.